GACGAACGCUGGCGGCGUGCCUAAUACAUGCAAGUCGAACGCACUCUCGUUUAGAUUGAAGGAGCUUGCUCCUGAUUGAUAAACAUUUGAGUGAGUGGCGGACGGGUGAGUAACACGUGGGUAACCUGCCCUAAAGCGGGGGAUAACAUUUGGAAACAGAUGCUAAUACCGCAUAAAACCUAACACCGCAUGGUGUAGGGUUGAAAGAUGGUUUCGGCUAUCACUUUAGGAUGGACCCGCGGUGCAUUAGUUAGUUGGUGAGGUAAAGGCUCACCAAGACCGUGAUGCAUAGCCGACCUGAGAGGGUAAUCGGCCACACUGGGACUGAGACACGGCCCAGACUCCUACGGGAGGCAGCAGUAGGGAGUCUUCCACAAUGGACGAAAGCCUGAUGGAGCAACGCCGCGUGAGUGAAGAAGGUUUUCGGAUCGUAAAACUCUGUUGUUGGAGAAGGAUGUAUCUGAUAGUAACUGAUCAGGUAGUGACGGUAUCCAACCAGAAAGCCACGGCUAACUACGUGCCAGCAGCCGCGGUAAUACGUAGGUGGCAAGCGUUGUCCGGAUUUAUUGGGCGUAAAGCGAGCGCAGGCGGUUUCUUAAGUCUGAUGUGAAAGCCUUCGGCUCAACCGAAGAAGUGCAUCGGAAACUGGGAAACUUGAGUGCAGAAGAGGACAGUGGAACUCCAUGUGUAGCGGUGAAAUGCGUAGAUAUAUGGAAGAACACCAGUGGCGAAGGCGGCUGUCUGGUCUGUAACUGACGCUGAGGCUCGAAAGCAUGGGUAGCAAACAGGAUUAGAUACCCUGGUAGUCCAUGCCGUAAACGAUGA
This 825-nucleotide ribosomal RNA is filed under the name uncultured Lactobacillus sp. Its description in RNAcentral is "bacterial SSU rRNA". It matches the Rfam family "Bacterial small subunit ribosomal RNA", at positions 28 to 812 of the family's 1533-position model. Lineage: Bacteria; Bacillati; Bacillota; Bacilli; Lactobacillales; Lactobacillaceae. The record is from RNAcentral.